Molecule: ribosomal RNA, 484 nt
Filed under: uncultured bacterium
Lineage: Bacteria
Description: partial 16S ribosomal RNA
Rfam family: Bacterial small subunit ribosomal RNA
Source: RNAcentral
AUUGAACGCUGGCGGCAGGCCUAACACAUGCAAGUCGAGCGGAUGAAGGGAGCUUGCUCCUGGAUUCAGCGGCGGACGGGUGAGUAAUGCCUAGGAAUCUGCCUGGUAGUGGGGGAUAACGUCCGGAAACGGGCGCUAAUACCGCAUACGUUCUGAGGGAGAAAGUGGGGGAUCUUCGGACCUCACGCUAUCAGAUGAGCCUAGGUCGGAUUAGCUAGUUGGUGGGGUAAAGGCCUACCAAGGCGACGAUCCGUAACUGGUCUGAGAGGAUGAUCAGUCACGCUGGAACUGGGAAACGGUACAGUCUCCUACGGGAGGCAGCAGUGGAGAAUAUUGGACAAUGAGCGAAAGCCUGAUCCAGCCAUGCCGCGUGUGUGAGGAAGGUCUUCGGAUUGUAAAGCACUUUAAGUUGGGAGGAAGGGCAGUAAGUUAAUACCUUGCUGUUUUGACGGUACCAACAGAAUAAGCACCGGCUAACUUCGUG